UUGCUCCGCUGACGAGUGGCGAACGGGUGAGUAAUAUAUCGGAACGUACCCAAGAGUGGGGGAUAACGUAGCGAAAGUUACGCUAAUACCGCAUACGAUCUAUGGAUGAAAGCAGGGGACCUUCGGGCCUUGUGCUCCUGGAGCGGCCGAUAUCUGAUUAGCUAGUUGGUGAGGUAAAGGCUCACCAAGGCGACGAUCAGUAGCUGGUCUGAGAGGACGACCAGCCACACUGGAACUGAGACACGGUCCAGACUCCUACGGGAGGCAGCAGUGGGGAAUUUUGGACAAUGGGCGCAAGCCUGAUCCAGCAAUGCCGCGUGAGUGAAGAAGGCCUUCGGGUUGUAAAGCUCUUUUGUCAGGGAAGAAACGGGAGUGGCUAAUAUCCACGCCUAAUGACGGUACCUGAAGAAUAAGCACCGGCUAACUACGUGCCAGCAGCCGCGGUAAUACGUAGGGUGCAAGCGUUAAUCGGAAUUACUGGGCGUAAAGCGUGCGCAGGCGGUUUUGUAAGUCUGUCGUGAAAUCCCCGGGCUCAACCUGGGAAUUGCGAUGGAGACUGCAAGGCUAGAAUCUGGCAGAGGGGGGUAGAAUUCCACGUGUAGCAGUGAAAUGCGUAGAGAUGUGGAGGAACACCGAUGGCGAAGGCAGCCCCCUGGGUCAAGAUUGACGCUCAUGCACGAAAGCGUGGGGAGCAAACAGGAUUAGAUACCCUGGUAGUCCACGCCCUAAACGAUGUCUACUAGUUGUCGGGUUUUAAUUAACUUGGUAACGCAGCUAACGCGUGAAGUAGACCGCCUGGGGAGUACGGUCGCAAGAUUAAAACUCAAAGGAAUUGACGGGGACCCGCACAAGCGGUGGAUGAUGUGGAUAAUUCGAUGCAACGCGAAAAACCUUACCUACCCUUGACAUGUCAGGAAGGCCGGAGAGAUCUGGUUGUGCCCGAAAGGGAA
This 950-nucleotide ribosomal RNA is filed under the name Massilia timonae. RNAcentral describes it as "bacterial SSU rRNA". It matches the Rfam family "Bacterial small subunit ribosomal RNA", at positions 80 to 1026 of the family's 1533-position model. Lineage: Bacteria; Pseudomonadati; Pseudomonadota; Betaproteobacteria; Burkholderiales; Oxalobacteraceae. The record is from RNAcentral.